RNAcentral lists this ribosomal RNA (2909 nucleotides) under Bacillus cereus ATCC 10987. RNAcentral's name for it is "23S ribosomal RNA". The record is from RNAcentral. Lineage: Bacteria; Bacillati; Bacillota; Bacilli; Caryophanales; Bacillaceae.
AUGGUUAAGUCCUCGAUCUAUUAGUAUUCGUCAGCUCCACAUGUCACCAUGCUUCCACCUCGAACCUAUCAACCUGAUCAUCUUUCAGGGAUCUUACUAGCUUACGCUAUGGGAAAUCUCAUCUUGAGGGGGGCUUCAUGCUUAGAUGCUUUCAGCACUUAUCCCUUCCGCACAUAGCUACCCAGCUAUGCCCUUGGCAGAACAACUGGUACACCAGCGGUGCGUCCAUCCCGGUCCUCUCGUACUAAGGACAGCUCCUCUCAAAUUUCCUACGCCCACGACGGAUAGGGACCGAACUGUCUCACGACGUUCUGAACCCAGCUCGCGUACCGCUUUAAUGGGCGAACAGCCCAACCCUUGGGACCGACUACAGCCCCAGGAUGCGAUGAGCCGACAUCGAGGUGCCAAACCUCCCCGUCGAUGUGGACUCUUGGGGGAGAUAAGCCUGUUAUCCCCGGGGUAGCUUUUAUCCGUUGAGCGAUGGCCCUUCCAUGCGGAACCACCGGAUCACUAAGCCCGACUUUCGUCCCUGCUCGACUUGUAGGUCUCGCAGUCAAGCUCCCUUAUGCCUUUGCACUCUACGAAUGAUUUCCAACCAUUCUGAGGGAACCUUUGGGCGCCUCCGUUACACUUUAGGAGGCGACCGCCCCAGUCAAACUGCCCACCUGACACUGUCUCCCGGGUCGAUAAGACCCGUAGGUUAGAAUUUCAAUACAGUCAGGGCGGUAUCCCACCAGCGCCUCCACCGAAGCUAGCGCUCCGGUUUCAAAGGCUCCCGCCUAUCCUGUACAAACUGUACCAAAAUUCAAUAUCAGGCUACAGUAAAGCUCCACGGGGUCUUUCCGUCCUGUCGCGGGUAACCUGCAUCUUCACAGGUACUAUAAUUUCACCGAGUCUCUGGUUGAGACAGUGCCCAAAUCGUUACACCUUUCGUGCGGGUCGGAACUUACCCGACAAGGAAUUUCGCUACCUUAGGACCGUUAUAGUUACGGCCGCCGUUUACUGGGGCUUCAGUUCAGAGCUUCGCUUACGCUAACCCCUCUCCUUAACCUUCCAGCACCGGGCAGGUGUCACCCCCUAUACUUCGCCUUACGGCUUCGCAGAGAGCUGUGUUUUUGCUAAACAGUCGCUUGGGCCUAUUCACUGCGGCUUUCCGUUAAGAAAGCACCCCUUCUCCCGAAGUUACGGGGUCAUUUUGCCGAGUUCCUUAACCAGAGUUCUCUCGCACACCUUAGGAUUCUCUCCUCGCCUACCUGUGUCGGUUUGCGGUACAGGCACCUUUUAUCUCGCUAGAAGCUUUUCUUGGCAGCGGGGAAUCAAAGACUUCGCUCCAUAAGGAGCUUCCCCAUCACAGCUCAGCCUUCACGAUAAGCGGAUUUGCCUACUUAUCAGCCUAACUGCUUGGACGUGCACAACCAAUCGCACGCUUCUUCUAUCCUUCUGCGUCCCUCCAUUGCUCAAACGAUAAAGAGGUGGUACAGGAAUAUCAACCUGUUGUCCAUCGCCUACGCCUGUCGGCCUCGGCUUAGGUCCUGACUAACCCUGAGCGGACGAGCCUUCCUCAGGAAACCUUAGGCAUUCGGUGGACGGGAUUCUCACCCGUCUUUCGCUACUCAUACCGGCAUUCUCACUUCUAAGCACUCCACCAGUCCUUCCGGUCUGACUUCACUGUCCUUAGAACGCUCCCCUACCACUGAUACCAUUCGGUAUCAAUCCGCAGCUUCGGUGGUGUAUUUAGCCCCGGUACAUUUUCGGCGCAGAGUCACUCGACUAGUGAGCUAUUACGCACUCUUUAAAUGGUGGCUGCUUCUAAGCCAACAUCCUAGUUGUCUAAGCAACUCCACAUCCUUUUCCACUUAAUACACACUUUGGGACCUUAGCUGGCGGUCUGGGCUGUUUCCCUUUUGACUACGGAUCUUAUCACUCGCAGUCUGACUCCUAAGGAUAAGUCAUUGGCAUUCGGAGUUUGACUGAAUUCGGUAAUCCGAUGAGGACCCCUAGUCCAAUCAGUGCUCUACCUCCAAGACUCUUACACUUAAGGCUAGCCCUAAAGCUAUUUCGGGGAGAACCAGCUAUCUCCAGGUUCGAUUGGAAUUUCUCCGCUACCCACACCUCAUCCCCGCACUUUUCAACGUGCGUGGGUUCGGGCCUCCAUUCAGUGUUACCUGAACUUCACCCUGGACAUGGGUAGAUCACCUGGUUUCGGGUCUACGACCACGUACUAAACGCCCUAUUCAGACUCGCUUUCGCUGCGGCUCCGCCUCUUCAGCUUAACCUCGCACGGGAUCGUAACUCGCCGGUUCAUUCUACAAAAGGCACGCCAUCACCCGUUAACGGGCUCUGACUAUUUGUAGGCACACGGUUUCAGGAUCUCUUUCACUCCCCUUCCGGGGUGCUUUUCACCUUUCCCUCACGGUACUGGUUCACUAUCGAUCACUAGGGAGUAUUUAGCCUUGGGAGAUGGUCCUCCCAGAUUCCGACGGAAUUUCACGUGUUCCGCCGUACUCAGGAUACAUUCAAGAGAGAACGAAGUUUCGACUACGGGGUUGUUACCCUCUACGACGGACCUUUCCAGGUCGCUUCGUCUACCUCGUUCCUUUGUAACUCCGUAUAGAAUGUCCUACAACCCCAAGAGGCAAGCCUCUUGGUUUGGGCUAUGUUCCGUUUCGCUCGCCGCUACUCAGGAAAUCGCAUUUGCUUUCUCUUCCUCCAGGUACUUAGAUGUUUCAGUUCCCUGGGUCUGUCUUCCUUACCCUAUGUAUUCAGAUAAGGAUACCAUACCAUUACGUAUGGUGGGUUUCCCCAUUCGGAAAUCUUCGGAUCAAAGCUUACUUACAGCUCCCCGAAGCAUAUCGGCGUUAGUCCCGUCCUUCAUCGACUCCUAGUGUCAAGGCAUCCACCGUGCGCCC